RNAcentral lists this ribosomal RNA (253 nucleotides) under uncultured bacterium. Its description in RNAcentral is "partial 16S ribosomal RNA". It matches the Rfam family "Bacterial small subunit ribosomal RNA", at positions 524 to 776 of the family's 1533-position model. The record is from RNAcentral.
UACGUAGGGGGCAAGCGUUGUCCGGAUUUACUGGGCGUAAAGAGCGCGCAGGCGGUCGUUCAAGUCGAGUGUGAAAGCCCCCGGCUCAACUGGGGAAGGUCACUCGAUACUGAUCGACUCGAAGGCAGAAGAGGGAAGCGGAAUUCCAGGUGUAGCGGUGAAAUGCGUAGAUAUCUGGAGGAACACCGGUGGCGAAGGCGGCAUCCUGGACCGGUAUUGACGCUGAGGCGCGAAAGCUAGGGGAGCAAACGGG